Molecule: ribosomal RNA, 575 nt
Filed under: uncultured bacterium
Lineage: Bacteria
Description: bacterial SSU rRNA
Rfam family: Bacterial small subunit ribosomal RNA
Source: RNAcentral
GCAUGUGGUUUAAUUCGACGCAACGCGAAGAACCUUACCAGGGCUUGACAUUUACCUGACGCAUAUUAGAGAUAGUAUGCUAUCUUCGGAACAGGUAAACAGGUGGUGCAUGGUUGUCGUCAGCUCGUGUCGUGAGAUGUUGGGUUAAGUCCCGCAACGAGCGCAACCCUUAUUCUUAGUUGCCAUCAGGUGAAGCUGGGCACUCUAGGGAGACUGCCGGUGACAAACCGGAGGAAGGUGGGGAUGACGUCAAAUCAUCAUGCCCUUUAUGUCCUGGGCUACACACGUGCUACAAUGGCCGGUACAACGGGUAGCGAGACCGCGAGGUUUAGCCAAUCCCUUAAAGCCGGUCUCAGUUCGGAUUGCAAGCUGCAACUCGCCUGCAUGAAGUCGGAAUCGCUAGUAAUCGCGAAUCAGCACGUCGCGGUGAAUACGUUCCCGGGCCUUGUACACACCGCCCGUCACACCACGAAAGCCGGCAACACCCGAAGCCGGUGGCCUAACCGCGAGGAAGGAGCCGUCGAAGGUGGGGCUGGUGAUUGGGGUGAAGUCGUAACAAGGUAACCAAGGGCGAA